CCUACGGGUGGCAGCAGUGAGGAAUAUUGGUCAAUGGCCGGAAGGCUGAACCAGCCAUGCCGCGUGAAGGUCAGUGCCCUAUGGGCGUUAAACUUCUUUUGUGCGGGAGCAAUAAUGGUCACGUGUGGCCAGACGAGAGUACCGUACGAAUAAGCAUCGGCUAACUCCGUGCCAGCAGCCGCGGUAAUACGGGGGAUGCAAGCGUUAUCCGGAUUUAUUGGGUUUAAAGGGUGCGUAGGCGGUUCGAUAAGUUAGAGGUGAAAUCCCGGGGCUCAACUCCGGCACUGCCUCUGAUACUGUCGGGCUAGAGUUUAGUUGCGGUAGGCGGAAUGUAUGGUGUAGCGGUGAAAUGCAUAGAGAUCAUACAGAACACCGAUUGCGAAGGCAGCUUACCAAACUACGACUGACGUUGAGGCACGAAAGCGUGGGGAGCAAACAGGAUUAGAUACCCCAGUAGUC
This 459-nucleotide ribosomal RNA is filed under the name uncultured bacterium. RNAcentral's name for it is "partial 16S ribosomal RNA". It matches the Rfam family "Bacterial small subunit ribosomal RNA", at positions 338 to 795 of the family's 1533-position model. The record is from RNAcentral.